UGCCCAGAUAGCUCAGAGGUAGAGCACUUGCAUGGUAAGCAAGCGGUCGUAGGUUCGAUUCCUAUUCUGGGCAG
Molecule: transfer RNA, 74 nt
Filed under: Chlamydiota bacterium
Lineage: Bacteria; Pseudomonadati; Chlamydiota
Description: Chlamydiae bacterium tRNA-Thr
Rfam family: tRNA
About the family: Transfer RNA (tRNA) molecules are approximately 80 nucleotides in length. Their secondary structure includes four short double-helical elements and three loops (D, anti-codon, and T loops).
Source: RNAcentral